UGGGGAAUUUUGGACAAUGGGCGAAAGCCUGAUCCAGCAAUGCCGCGUGUGUGAAGAAGGCCUUCGGGUUGUAAAGCACUUUUGUCCGGAAAGAAAUCCUUGGCUCUAAUACAGUCGGGGGAUGACGGUACCGGAAGAAUAAGCACCGGCUAACUACGUGCCAGCAGCCGCGGUAAUACGUAGGGUGCAAGCGUUAAUCGGAAUUACUGGGCGUAAAGCGUGCGCAGGCGGUUUGCUAAGACCGAUGUGAAAUCCCCGGGCUCAACCUGGGAACUGCGUUGGUGACUGGCAGGCUAGAGUAUGGCAGAGGGGGGUAGAAUUCCACGUGUAGCAGUGAAUGCGUAGAGAUGUGGAGGAAUACCGAUGGCGAAGGCAGCCCCCUGGGCCAAUACUGACGCUCAUGCACGAAAGCGUGGGGAGCAAACAGGAUUAGAUACCCUGGUAGUCCACGCCCUAAACGAUGUCAACUAGUUGUUGGGGAUUCAUUUCCUUAGUAACGUAGCUAACGCGUGAAGUUGACCGCCUGGGGAGUACGGUCGCAAGAUUAAAACUUAAAUGAAUUGACGGGGUCAUAGCUGUUUCCU
RNAcentral lists this ribosomal RNA (584 nucleotides) under uncultured bacterium. RNAcentral's name for it is "partial 16S ribosomal RNA". It matches the Rfam family "Bacterial small subunit ribosomal RNA", at positions 355 to 1375 of the family's 1533-position model. The record is from RNAcentral.